RNAcentral lists this unclassified non-coding RNA (1213 nucleotides) under Hevea brasiliensis (rubber tree). The record is from RNAcentral. Lineage: Eukaryota; Viridiplantae; Streptophyta; Magnoliopsida; Malpighiales; Euphorbiaceae.
CAUCUCUCCACUUUUCCCUUUUUCUUCCUCUCUUUAAAAAAAAAAGAAAAGCAAAUCUCUUCCUUAUAGUAAACAUUUUUUUUUUCAGUUCCUUCUAGUGUUAUAAUGGCAGCACAAGAUCGACAAGAAGAUCAACCUGAACUCCAGAACUACAAGACUUGGGUUUUGAAAGUUUCCAUUCACUGUGAAGGCUGUAAAAGGAAAGUUAAGAAAAUUCUCCAACAAGUACCUGGAGUGUAUACUAUAGAUAUCGAUCUCAAGCAACAGAAAGCAAUAGUAACUGGGAAUGUAGAAGCAGAAGCUCUUCUCAGGAAACUACACAAAUCCGGUAAACACGCUGAAUUAGUACCACAACAGACUGAUCACAAGGAGAAAAAGUCUGCUAAGAUCAAGAGCAAAGAGAAACAAAUUAACCCACAAAACAAAGAAGCAGAAUCAACUACCCAACUUGAUAUCAAUACCCACAAAAAUGUCAAAUCAAAUGAAAAAAUUGCAGCACCCAAAGAACCUUCAGUAAAAAUUCAAGAGGCAAGUGAUGAAGCAGUACCCAAACGGAGUGAAAAACCUAGCACCGGUUCAGCGAAACCGACAGAAGAAACCGGCACCGCCUCUGGUGACAAACCGGUGGAGGCUGAAAAAGAGAAUGAAACAGUUGAGGAGAUAAAAUCUGAAGGAAAAAAAACGGUAACCGACUCUACCGGUAAACAACAAAUUCCGGUGGCGGCGGAGGAAAAGGUUACUGAUAGUGAUGAUGCUUCAGCUAGUGGCGAAAAAAGCGGUGGUGGCCCAGUUGGUGAAGCAAGUGGCAAUACUGGUAAAAAGAAGAAAAAGAAAGGGCAAAACAGUAACAACGUUGAGGGCACACCAUCAAUUGUUGCUCCGGCAGGUCCAGUAUUCGAAAAUCAUAACAUAGGACCACAAGUCUUUGCGCCGACCAAUGAUAGCCCUCCACGUCAUCCAUCUUAUCAUUAUUACCCGCAACAGGGCCCACAGUUCUACGCCCCACCACCAGCACCAGCAUACGUCGUUAGCUACAAUACGGCUCAACCUACGGCUAACUAUACGGCAUCGUAUUAUGCUCCGGCACCUCCCACUUCGUAUGCCUAUACGUAUUCCGGUCCUAGUCAUGUAACGGAACCUCCACCGUCCGAUGUGGAUACGUAUCCACGCCAACCGUUGGAUUCGUUUGAAAUGUUUAGUGAUGAAAAUCCUA